CACUGAGAAGCUAAACAGGUACUAGCGUUAGCCUUUUAAGCUAAAAACUGGCGAUUCCGACCGCCCUUGGUGA
RNAcentral lists this transfer RNA (73 nucleotides) under Gymnothorax fimbriatus (fimbriated moray). RNAcentral describes it as "tRNA-Lys". It matches the Rfam family "tRNA". From Rfam's summary of the family: Transfer RNA (tRNA) molecules are approximately 80 nucleotides in length. Their secondary structure includes four short double-helical elements and three loops (D, anti-codon, and T loops). Lineage: Eukaryota; Metazoa; Chordata; Actinopteri; Anguilliformes; Muraenidae. The record is from RNAcentral.